AGGAUGAACGCUAGCGGCAGGCCUAAUACAUGCAAGUCGAACGGUGGUAGCAAUACCAUAGUGGCGCACGGGUGCGUAACGCGUAACCAACCUACCCACAACUGGGGGAUAGCCCGCCGAAAGGCGGAUUAAUACCGCAUAAGCUCUGUAGCCGGCAUCGGUUAUUUAGUAAAGAUUUAUUGGUUGUGGAUGGGGUUGCGUGCCAUUAGCUAGUUGGUGAGGUAACGGCUCACCAAGGCGACGAUGGCUA
This 250-nucleotide ribosomal RNA is filed under the name uncultured bacterium. RNAcentral describes it as "partial small subunit ribosomal RNA". It matches the Rfam family "Bacterial small subunit ribosomal RNA", at positions 26 to 285 of the family's 1533-position model. The record is from RNAcentral.